AGUCGUAACAAGGUUUCCGUAGGUGAACCUGCGGAAGGAUCAUUACCGAGUGAGGGCCCUUUGGGUCCAACCUCCCACCCGUGUUUAUUUUACCUUGUUGCUUCGGCGGGCCCGCCUUUACUGGCCGCCGGGGGGCUCACGCCCCCGGGCCCGCGCCCGCCGAAGACACCUCCGAACUCUGUCUGAAGAUUGAAGUCUGAGUGAAAAUAUAAAUUAUUUAAAACUUUCAACAACGGAUCUCUUGGUUCCGGCAUCGAUGAAGAACGCAGCGAAAUGCGAUACGUAAUGUGAAUUGCAAAUUCAGUGAAUCAUCGAGUCUUUGAACGCACAUUGCGCCCCCUGGUAUUCCGGGGGGCAUGCCUGUCCGAGCGUCAUUGCUGCCCUCAAGCACGGCUUGUGUGUUGGGCCCCGUCCUCCGAUUCCGGGGGACGGGCCCGAAAGGCAGCGGCGGCACCGCGUCCGGUCCUCGAGCGUAUGGGGCUUUGUCACCCGCUCUGUAGGCCCGGCCGGCGCUUGCCGAUCAACCCAAAUUUUUAUCCAGGUUGACCUCGGAUCAGGUAGGGAUACCCGCUGAACUUAAGCAUAUCAAUAAGCGGAGGA
Molecule: unclassified non-coding RNA, 600 nt
Filed under: Penicillium cyclopium
Lineage: Eukaryota; Fungi; Ascomycota; Eurotiomycetes; Eurotiales; Aspergillaceae
Description: sequence contains 18S rRNA gene, ITS1, 5.8S rRNA gene, ITS2, 28S rRNA gene
Rfam family: 5.8S ribosomal RNA (bases 222-374)
Source: RNAcentral